ACUUUUAAAAUCUGUGUCUGUUACUCGAAAGGCCAACAAACCGAUCGGUUGUCCAUAAAUCAGUUACAUAUCGGGCUCAUAUAACGGCACACAUCUUUUUAUAACCCCACGAUCAUCAUGAUCCGCUGAUCGGAAGAUCCAUGUAUAAUGCUGUGGUGCAAAGUCGGCCGAUGGCGAGUGCUUCGUAGCGCCCGAGUCAAAGCUAAAGCUAAAGCCAUCCAUCCAUCCAGGACAGAGGCGGCCAGAUUCAAGAGGAGUUGGCCAAGGGGAGGCAACUGUCUGUAAAUUAACGCGGGCGUUAAAAUUGCAAUUUUUCACUUAAUGCACACACUGAGACAACGACAACAAGAACAACCGACUGCAACUGCAACUGCAGCUAAAUCAUCAAAGUCAAUGGCAGCAGCGGCAGAAGCUGAGAUAUCAGAGGAGCAUGUCCAUUUAGAGAUGGGUAAACCAAUCAUAUAAGAAGGGAUUGGGAUAUCAUGGGAUACGUAAAGUUAUAAAAAUGGUAUAAUAACAAAUAACAACAACACAUUUAACGAUAACAAAUUUAAUCUAAGCUAAAGUUCUUUAUUUUGCUGAAAGGUUUCGAUCAUAUUUCCCCAUUUCAACGACUGAUAUAUUGCCCAUCUCUAGGUAGAAAAUCUGUGCCCGACUGAAACUCGUUCCUUAUGUAAAGUGUCCUUGAAAUAAUUGUAA
This is a long non-coding RNA of Drosophila simulans, 699 nucleotides long. RefSeq lists it as uncharacterized. The record is from RefSeq and is a predicted model, not a curated record. The transcript is spliced from 4 exons. Lineage: Eukaryota; Metazoa; Arthropoda; Insecta; Diptera; Drosophilidae.